This is a long non-coding RNA of Herpailurus yagouaroundi (jaguarundi), 948 nucleotides long. RefSeq lists it as uncharacterized. Lineage: Eukaryota; Metazoa; Chordata; Mammalia; Carnivora; Felidae. The record is from RefSeq and is a predicted model, not a curated record. The transcript has 3 exons.
UCUAGCUUUUGUUGUUCUUCCCCUUUACCCAGGAUGAGUCUCAGCACUUCCAGCAUUGGGCUACCUACUAAUAUAUGGAUCCUCAAGUAGCAUUGGGCAUCUCCAGUUCCUAGUUCAAAGCCAUCUUUGAAGGCCUCACUCAGGCCACCUCUGCUGAGUGGCUCAGAAAAAACAAACAAACAAACAACAACAACAAUUUCUCCCAUCUUUGGGUACUCAUUUCACCAUGUGCAUUUGUCCAAAGAAGGCGACAAAGUAUUUUACAAUGUUUGACGACAGAUUGUGACUUCCCACGUUACUGGCUUCCUUUGCCCACCCUGCAGCAGUAUCUUCUGUGUUCCUUUAACCUGCAAAGUAAUGACGGUGGCUGAUUGCAUUUGAUAAAGAUUUCACCUUUCUGGAGCAAUUCUUUACUAAGAACUUUAAACUUCAUUAUUAUAAAAACUAGGGAAAACUACAGCUUAGGCAUUUAUUUUUUCCAGGCAAAAUUCGUUUGUCAUGAUGGAGGAUUCCUCAGUUCUAAAGACUGAAUAUGCAUAAUAGAUAUACCUGGAGGCUGACUCAGGAUCAGUUCUCCUAAAAGAAGUUCAACUGAGUAGCAUGUAGGAAUCAUAUGCAAAGAAGCUUCUCGAUGCAGGACAGAGCACAGCCUCAGGAAGGUCACACAGGUCAAGCUGAUUACCUCCUCCAGCUCUGGCAAGCAGAGGGCUCAGCUGGGUUACCCAAGUUCACAAGGAGCUAUUGACAUUCAGCUUCAGCUCUCACUCAUUACAGAUCAGCAGGGGACUGUCUGGGCCUUAGGUUAACUCUUCCCUGCCCUCUUUCAAGAUUGCAGUGAGGCUAAAAAUGAAAAGAAGCUGCACGGUAACAUGGACACAGUUUAUUCCUGGUUAUUAUUCAAGAAAUGAACCUUUUCAACCAAUAUCUAAUAAACCUCUUCCAAGGGAA